This 660-nucleotide long non-coding RNA is filed under the name Anser brachyrhynchus (Pink-footed goose). RNAcentral's name for it is "lncRNA (ENSABRG00000005758.1)". The record is from RNAcentral. Lineage: Eukaryota; Metazoa; Chordata; Aves; Anseriformes; Anatidae.
CCUCAUUGCAAUGACUAUAAUUGUAUUGCUUCAGAUAACCCACAGACGUCUCUAUAGGACAGAGAACUAUUCAGUACCAUGUGAAUUCAAUCCUUUUCAGAAUAAUCACAGCUGGUGGAUAGGGAAUAAAUUACUGAAUGAAGGUUUGCAAAACCCUGCCCUAUACUGACACAGCAAUUUCAGCUAUUCAUGGGGUUAGUUCUGGGAGUCUCUUUAUCAAGUAAGAUAUUUGAUCUGGAAAGACUUUUCAACAAUCCUGUUUUUAAGAGUAGGCGGAAGAAAUGUUCUUAGCUUUCUUCAGCGCUAGGAGCAAUCCUUCCAUCCUGGGAGCAGUUAUCCUGCAUCCAAGAGGAGCUUCACUUCUACUUUUUCCUCCUGGAAGGAGACUGUGGCCUGAUCUUCAUGGUUUUGGACCAAGUCCCUCGGCUGUACUCCUGGUGGAAAGAUUACAUCCUGUUCUGUGACUUUCAAAUCUCAAAUGCAGAUGUGCCAUUCCUUAGAAACAUCACAGGAGUUAUUUGCUCAGAGAGAAUCAAAUUUGUGUGAAUUCAUUAAGUCAAACAGGACCAUAAGUACGCAUGAUGAACCAUAUGUUUGCCUAAAGAAAUGCUGAAUCAAGUGAACGAAUGUUUUCACAAAUAAAUGUGUACACAAAUGACA